CCUACGGGAGGCUGCAGUAGGGAAUCUUCCACAAUGGACGAAAGUCUGAUGGAGCAACGCCGCGUGAGUGAAGAAGGGUUUCGGCUCGUAAAGCUCUGUUGGUAGUGAAGAAAGAUAGAGGUAGUAACUGGCCUUUAUUUGACGGUAAUUACUUAGAAAGUCACGGCUAACUACGUGCCAGCAGCCGCGGUAAUACGUAGGGGGCAAGCGUUGUCCGGAUUUAUUGGGCGUAAAGCGAGUGCAGGCGGUUCAAUAAGUCUGAUGUGAACGCCUUCGGCUCAACCGGAGAAUUGCAUCAGAAACUGUUGAACUGGAGUGCAGAAGAGGAGAGUGGAACUCCAUGUGUAGCGGUGGAAUGCGUAGAUAUAUGGAAGAACACCAGUGGCGAAGGCGGCUCUCUGGUCUGCAACUGACGCUGAGGCUCGAAAGCAUGGGUAGCGAACAGGAUUAGAUACCCCGGUAGUC
Molecule: ribosomal RNA, 465 nt
Filed under: uncultured bacterium
Lineage: Bacteria
Description: partial 16S ribosomal RNA
Rfam family: Bacterial small subunit ribosomal RNA
Source: RNAcentral